AAGAAUUAUAUUUGUUAAGUGAUGGGAUGAACGUGUACAGUGAAACAAGCAAAGUAUGUUUGAUUAGAGUUAUUUUAAGUUGUACGUACUUUCAUAUAGCCUGUCCUCUAGAUCAUCAGUUGCCCAGGAACAUGGAGUCCUUGGGGUAGCAGACCAGUGCUGCUGUUUAUCAUCCUCAUCAGCAACUUCUUCAUCUACUCUCUGUGAAUUGCCUUGCUGUGGGUCCUGGUGCUCUUUCUCAUUACCUGGGGAGAGGAAUAACAGUGUGAAUACAGACCAGUGCUGCUGUUCAUCAUCCUCAUCAGCAACUUCUUCAUCUACUCUCUGUGAAUUGCCUUGCUGUGGGUCCUGGUGCUCUUUCUCAUUACCUGGGGAGAGGAAUAACAGUGUGAAUACAGAUUCACCUUAGCUGUCCCAGCAUCUUCUCCAGUACUGCUGUCCUGUUGUCGAUCAGUGGCGUUACCAUGACUGUCAUCAUCUCCAGUUCCUGCUGACAAGAUUAGUCAUUAGUCGUGACAACUACUUUCGAGGGGAGUUGAUGGUUACCAGCAUCUGAACCAAGUCUCCGGAAGUCCGCUCCAUGCGUAUGUUCAAAUGUGCCGCGCAGAGUGACGUCUGCGGAUGUGCGGCCAUUUUGAAAACGACGUCCCUAGCGAGUGAGAUUCACUGGGUUAUCUCCAUGUGACAGUCUAAGAAGAAUACUGUGGUGGCUGCACUUCAUAACCAGAAUGAAACCUUUUGCUGUAAUACUGAAAAAUAAAGGCACCCCUUGGAUUCCGCCUUUUCUCCAGGUUCAAAGGUUCAUGAACACUGGAUUUAUUUUGAGUAAACUUUUGCAGUUUAUUAAACUUCAGAUUUAAAAGCACCCUUCUGCAAGAAGUAACACAAUUAUGUAGUCAUGGAUAUUGAAAACAAAGGUUUUCAUACCUUCAAGAAAUUGUAAUGCAGGAGGUUGCUUUUUGUGAUUUUUAGUGAAGUAAGGUCCUCUUCACUUUGUUUCUCAAAGUUCUUUGACGCCAGGAUCUACCUUAAGUGAUAUCAAUUAUUAUGGUGGAGUUGCAAGGCCACAUGUGUGGUUUUCUUGUUCGAUCACCACUACACACACUAACUCAGAUGUACUCGUGACUUCAAGUUGUCCGCAAUCUUGGAUGACUGGAGUUCCCUUGAAAGGAGAGGCAGCUAGUUGUAUUCUGUCCAGAGGCUCUAAGGCUUCACAUGUCAACAAGGGUACUACUCCAUGCUUCCCUUCGUCUGCUAUGGUGCUCGUGACUUGAAGUUGUCUGCGAUCUUGAAUAACCUGCAUUUCUCUUGGAAAAAAUGACUGUUGAUUGAAUUCUGGCCACAGUCAGACUGGAAGAAUACUGCUUCUGUACUGGGCCCACUACAUUACCAGAGUGAAACCCUUUUGCUCAAGGAGUGAAAUAUUUUGGCAACACUUAGAUCUUGCUUUUAUAGGCACGUGUCCUGAAGUUGUCUGCAAUUUUAAAUGACUUUGGUUUCCCUGAAAGGAGAAACGGCUGAUUGUAUUCUGGCCAGAGGCUCAAAGGCCUCACACAUGAACAAGGUUACUCUAUGCUUCCUUUCGUCUGCAAUGGCUCGUGACUUCAAGUUGUAUACGAUUUUGAGUGAUUUCUAUUUCUCUUGAAGAAAAGACGGUUGAUCGACUGUGUCUUUUUUAUUAUUCUUUUUUCUUCUCCCAAAUGCCUGAAAAGGGUCCUCAGCUGUAGUUAAAAGUUGCAAGAAGUUUCUGGUGCAAACUAUCUUGUGAUUAAGAAGGCUACAGAAUUUCCAAUGUGUGAUCUUUUUUUAGCCUCCAAAUCAGCCUGUUGCCUGUUGUACUCAUUCUCUCUAGCUGGGAUAGCUUAAACUACACAUGCCGAGUUCUGAUUAAAGCAUCUCCGGUUGUGCUGACCUGAACCACUAAAGGUCUGUGGAGUUCCUAACAGCAUCGAUGAAUAUGUUGAUGGUUUCCUCUUUGCUUUGACUAUUAAAGGGAUACAGCAGCAUGGAAGCACGUAAGCACUUAGAGCACACUGGUCAUUGGCGAUAAAGGAGCGUCAAGCAAGCAUGCAAAUCUGCCACUGACAGAUGUAUUGCGCAGCAUUGGUGGUAGGACAGCGGACAGCAGUGCAGCUAGAGAGAGAUAGAAAAUCAUGCACUUUCCAAAACCUGCAACAAGCCUCAGAAGAAGCAUCCAAGUAAAGAUCAGUACUAUAUUAGUUGGGAAAAAUUACAUUUUGCCUGUUCGGUACAAAUCAGUAAUUUAUGUCUGUGUGUGUGUUUUGUUAAAAUAAAGGUAUUAUAUUUGUGUUGGUUUUUUGCUAGCAGUGCUGUUGCUAGCAUGAUCAUUGUUGAGGGAAUGCAGGAAGACUUGACUAUUUUGUUCCUAAUAUGACCUAUACACCUUUUACAUUCAUGGGGUAGUUUUGUUACUCUGAUCACUGAGUGACUUUUGAGGGAUAGGAUGGAAGAUAGAUUAAAUAUCUUAUGCGAUUGGCCAUGGCCGGGUCUCUUAGCUUUAGCAUGCAGUACUAUCACCGUUUGUUCUGACCCUCUCCAACCUUCCUCUUAUCACACCUAGGACGAAAUGUCAAAGGAUCAAUUGUGGUCGAGCCUCACAAGUUCAAGGGGGUGUUAACUGGUUGCCACAAGCGCAAACAUUGAAGUCUGCGGAAUUUGGCGGCGCCGGUUCAGCACUCAGGUUGGUCAUGGUGCGAUUGCAGCGCACUCUAUAGGCGGCUUUCGAGCCAGCGCCCCUGUCAUGCGGAGGGUAUGCAACCUUGUGACAGGCCCGCUCACCGGGUUGCCUAUCGUCUCCUCCGCAGGCGCGCUAGCGUAGUGUCCUGCUGUAUGAACGAGAAGACAUUGAGAUUUGAGACACACUCGAACUCUUCUCCCCUCUUACCGAUAUUGCCUUUUUUAUGCUUCCGCGAAUCUAAAAAUGUACUCAGCACAUUCUAAUGUCAAUAAAGUUACAAAAAUUCUA
RNAcentral lists this long non-coding RNA (2986 nucleotides) under Thrips palmi. Its description in RNAcentral is "uncharacterized LOC117653086, transcript variant X2". The record is from RNAcentral. Lineage: Eukaryota; Metazoa; Arthropoda; Insecta; Thysanoptera; Thripidae.